Molecule: transfer RNA, 72 nt
Filed under: Camelus bactrianus (Bactrian camel)
Lineage: Eukaryota; Metazoa; Chordata; Mammalia; Artiodactyla; Camelidae
Also listed under: 2 other names
Rfam family: tRNA
About the family: Transfer RNA (tRNA) molecules are approximately 80 nucleotides in length. Their secondary structure includes four short double-helical elements and three loops (D, anti-codon, and T loops). Further hydrogen bonds mediate the characteristic L-shaped molecular structure. tRNAs have two regions of fundamental functional importance: the anti-codon, which is responsible for specific mRNA codon recognition, and the 3' end, to which the tRNAs corresponding amino acid is attached (by aminoacyl-tRNA synthetases). tRNAs cope with the degeneracy of the genetic code in two manners: having more than one tRNA (with a specific anti-codon) for a particular amino acid; and 'wobble' base-pairing, i.e. permitting non-standard base-pairing at the 3rd anti-codon position.
Source: Rfam by way of RNAcentral
GGGGACAGAGCUCAGUGGUAGAGCAUAUGCUUGGCAUGUACGACAUCCUGGGUUCAAUCCCCAGUGCCGCCA